Molecule: ribosomal RNA, 394 nt
Filed under: uncultured bacterium
Lineage: Bacteria
Description: bacterial SSU rRNA
Rfam family: Bacterial small subunit ribosomal RNA
Source: RNAcentral
GUGUCAGCCGCCGCGGUAAUACAGAGGUCUCAAGCGUUGUUCGGAUUCAUUGGGCGUAAAGGGUGCGUAGGCGGCGCGGUAAGUCGGGUGUGAAAUCUUGGAGCUUAACUCCGAAACUGCAUUCGAUACUGCCGUGCUUGAGGACUGGAGAGGAGACUGGAAUUUACGGUGUAGCGGUGAAAUGCGUUGAUAUCCACAGGAACUCCGGUGGCGAAGGCGGCACGCUGGACCUUUUCUGACGCUGAGGCGCGAAAGCCAGGGGAGCGAACGGGAUUAGAUACCCCGGUAGUCCUGGCCCUAAACGUUGAGAACUAGGUAGUAGGCCAGACAUGGGCUUACUGCCGGAGCAAAAGUGCUAAGUUCUCCGCCUGGGGAGUAUGGUCGCAAGGCUAAA